UACAGAGGGUGCAAACGUUGUUCGGAAUUACUGGGCGUAAAGCGUGUGCAGGCGGCUAAGUAAGUCGGGUGUGAAAGCCCCGGGCUCAACCCGGGAAGUGCACUCGAUACUGCCUAGCUAGAGUCUCGGAGAGGAAGGUGGAAUGCUUGGUGUAGAGGUGAAAUUCGUAGAUAUCAAGCAGAACACCUGCGGCGAAGGCGGCCUUCUGGACGAUGACUGACGCUGAGGCGCGAAAGCGUGGGGAGCAAACAGG
Molecule: ribosomal RNA, 253 nt
Filed under: uncultured bacterium
Lineage: Bacteria
Description: partial 16S ribosomal RNA
Rfam family: Bacterial small subunit ribosomal RNA
Source: RNAcentral